GGAGGUCACUGCUAUCCGAAUUCGCCUAAGCCAUGCAAGUCCUGGGAAAUUUAUUUUCCAGGGCGGAAAGCUCAGUAACACGUAGUUAAUAUGCCCUUGGGCCUCGUUCAAUCCCGGGAAACUGGGGCCGAGAACGGGAUAGGCAAGGGGUGCUGGAAUGCUCCCUUACUGAACUAAGGAUUAGACUGCGGCUGAUUAGGUUGUUGGUAAGCUAAAGCCUUAUCAAGCCGAUAAUCAGUACGAGCCUUGAGAGAGGAAACUCGGAGAUGGAUUCUGAGACAACAAUCCAGACCUUACGAGGUGCAGCAGGCGCGAAAAUUUCACAAUGCACGCAAGUGUGAUGGAGGAAUUCGGAGUACUUUUCCUUCUUGGAAGAGUUUUUGCGCAACUUAAAUAAUUGCGAGAAUAAGUGGUGGGUAAUACGGGUGCCAGCCGCCGCGGUAAUACCCGAGCCACAAGUGGUGACCGCUUUUAUUGGGUUUAAAACAUUCGUAGCCGGUCUUGUAAGCUCCCGGUGAAAUAUCACAGUUAACUGUGGUGCUUGCCGGGGAGACUGCCAGACUAGAGACCGGGAGAAGUCAAGGGUACUGUCGGGGUAGGGGUAAAAUCCUGUAAUCCUGACAGGACCGCCUGUGGCGAAGGCGCUUGACUAGAACGGAUCUGACGGUGAGGGAUGAAAGCUAUGGGAGCGAAGCGGAUUAGAUACCCGCGUAGUCAUAGCUGUAAACGAUACCCGCUAGUUACUGGGGGUCUCAAGGGGGUCCCCAAUGACGUAGGGAAACCGUUAAGUGGGUUACCUGGGAAGUACGUUCGCAAGGAUGAAACUUAA
RNAcentral lists this ribosomal RNA (829 nucleotides) under uncultured archaeon. RNAcentral's name for it is "bacterial SSU rRNA". It matches the Rfam family "Archaeal small subunit ribosomal RNA", at positions 19 to 859 of the family's 1478-position model. The record is from RNAcentral.